CGCAAUGGCAGCCGCGGUGUGGCGUCAUGCUAAGAACCAAAGAAACCAGCGGAGGGCGAGGCGUAUGAAGUCAGGAAACACACCACUAAAUUGGAUACAAUUGAAGUUACCUCGUUCAGGCAGGCUACAAACAUACAAUGGCACAAUGCCUGCUGCUCACACCAGAGAUGCAGAGAUACAAGUGCACAGACAGCAUGGAUUCCAGCAAGAUUACGAGGAUGAUACAGAACUACAGAAUUUGGUGGAGGAUACAGGCGGACAAGUCUGAUCAAAACAGAUAGGCGCUGUUUGCUUUCCCUCAGAUGGAUGUGAUGUGGUUAUGGAUGUGGUUUGGAGAUCAGUGUCACACAAAGGAGGUGAGCUGCAGA
Long non-coding RNA from Alosa sapidissima (American shad), 368 nucleotides. RefSeq lists it as uncharacterized. The record is from RefSeq and is a predicted model, not a curated record. The transcript has 3 exons. NCBI's taxonomy places the organism in Eukaryota, Metazoa, Chordata, Actinopteri, Clupeiformes, Clupeidae.